AUGUGCAGUAGGAAACAGUGUCACAUACUCACAUCCUGACUCCUCCUGGGUUAGCCUGGAACUGGAGGACUCUUACAAUGCUGGAGAAAAUUUUCACUGCUGGGCUUUUCUCAGGAGAUGGAUUGCUUAUUUCAGCUUCUUGAUUCAUUCAGAAUUAUGGUGAUUUUGUCCUACUCGUCCAAAGUUCUCCUAUGUAAGAACUUCAUUCAAAACCAGUUUGCUUUCUUCUUUUUCACUAGGGUGCAAGAAUUAGAAGAACGUGCAGGUGCAAACUUUUGCUAAACCGAAAUCACAGGAAAAUGAUGGUGAUGGUUUCCUGAAAUCCAGAUCAGGUCUCUUUGGGAAAGACCACAGUCAAGUCCACCUACAGCACCCUGACUUGCAUCCUGCUGAGCACAGUGUGCAGCAGCUGGAGUCACUGGAGUCAGUGUCAGAGGAUCUUCAUCUGCCUCCAGAGGUCCAAGCUCCUGCCAGUGCCUGGAGAGGCUCAGCUCAGCUGCACUCAGCUGAAGGAUCAGGCACCACUUUCCAAAAGAGGGCAAUGUCAGGAAGACUCCUUGUGCCAACCAGCCUUUAAUCUACUGGGUGAGCUGUCUGUUGGGAAGAGGAUAAGGUAUGAGUUUGAAAACUUCUGGCUAGGGGACAGGAUGUGUACCCAGGUAAGUGAACAAGGCAGCUUCUGGGAAAAAAAACCAAAAAAACCCAAUCCAAAAAAAAAAUACACUAUCUCUUUCCUUUCAUCCUUCCCCCUUUUCUCUUUUGUUUCAGCCAAAAACUACAGUACAUGCUACCAAGUUCAGAUAUAUGGUCAGAGCAUUGCCUAUUAAGUAGCCAUCAGAAGGGACAGAACCCAGCUCAUGAAAAUAUUAACAUCUUAGGUGGCGUUAGGAAAAAGAGACACACACACAGAACCCAAGAAACCAGGAGAUCUUCUGAACAAAUAUAAGAUUUUUGAUAGCCAGGUAGCUAUUUCUGCAGUGAAAUUAAUCCAGGACAGGGAGCAUAAGAUCAGUGGAAAUAAUAUAUAUCUAUAUAUCUAGAUAAUAUGUAAUAAUCAGGAACUGAGGGACAGCAGAGAUGAGGCUUAUUGUGUCAGCAAGCCCUAUGCGACAGUCCCAACAUCUGGGCCUCUGCUCUUCUGGAGCCCUGUGGUAGGGGCUCAUCCCAGGCCCUGCAUGUGGAGAAAAGCUUUGGAAUGUGAACACAAAGUACCACACUUGCAGCACCGUAAAUCAACAGGCACAUAAAAGGAAUUAAAAGUGCAGGGCUUUUAUAUUGUGAUUUUGGGGAGCCCUCACUGGAGAAGAUUUUUAAGUACUCAGGCUGACAGUAACACUACGUAACAGAGACUGGAAAUGGGCCUUACAAAAUCACUUCUUUGAGAUAGCUCUUCACCAGAAACAGCUGGAGAUAAUUCUUCAUCUUUCACUUGAAACAGCUAUUUCAGUUUAGAAUCAGUGUGUGGAAGGGAAGGUGGCUCUGCAGCUCCUCUGGCAUUUUUGUUUUUUCACAGCUCACUGUGAUCAGUGGUGGGUUUUCCAUUGGUGUUCAGGUGAAAUUAUAGGGAAGUAACUUUGUACAAAAUCUCGUUGGAUCUCUGGCCUGCCUGCAAUGCCAAGGCUUGCCUGAGGCUCAGAGGUUUUGUCUCUGGGAAAAAUUAGGAGGUCUUGACAAAUAAUUGUAACAUGCUGUUAUAGAGAAUCACAGGAAGGAAUGACAAAAUCCCCAAAUGAUUGGGUAUUCAGUUCCUUUGUAACAUUUUGCUUUUAUUAAUGCAAAUUGUGCUCACAUAUGUUAUUUUGUGGCCAGUUUGCUGCAUCGUAUGUUUGAGUCCCUUAUAACAUACGUAAGAAUUAAUACAUUGUGCCAGUUCUGUCUUCACCUGCAAAAAAAAUUCUGAAAAGGAAGAGGGGCAAAGAACUAUAGAUAAUCUGCAUAGGAACACAAAAAUUUUUCUUCUGCUUCAACUGAGGAGGGUCUCUAUCAUAUGAGUUUACCUUCUGUUUUUGGCUUCCAGUGAAUCCCAUGAUGCAGAGCAAAACUUAGUAGGAAGAAUGAAGUUUUCCACCCCAGAUGGUAAAUUGGUCCAGUUUCACUUGAAACUUGGCUUUUUUGCAAGUGUUGUUGCAUUUGGCCUAGUAGACUAUAAUGAAAUUUUGAACUAGGAUUGUUUCACUAUGUGAAUUAAGUAUUGGGCAUGUUCCAUUCCUGGAUGGAGUAGGACUUUCCAAGCAAUUACUUUUCUUAUCUCCAGGGGCUACUGUGAUAUUCAGAACUUAAAACGUGGAGAUUGUGACUCUUGGGCUCUCACUCAGUGUCACUGCUGGCACUGAGGUAAUAUGGGAGGGGAGGGUUGAAAGCAGCCACCCCCUAACAGCAUGUGGAGCAGGGAUGAGCCUCGUGCACAGGCACAGGGACAAUGGGUGAAGGGGCUGGUGUGAGAGCUGAGCUGGAAAGUGAUGGGGUGCAGAGAGGAAGGUAAAGAUUCAAAACUUUCGGGAGUGGUGGGGGGAGAAGCAACUGGAAUGUGGAUGGCGAUAGGGCAGCUCCUCAAAUGAGUGAGAGAGAAGGUGGGUGAGGACAUUGUGGGGCAAGAAAUUAUGUGAAGGUAGAAGAGAAGGUAGCAAAGAGUGCUGACGUUGUAAUCCAGCCCUGCCCCAGGAGAUGGAAACAGGGAAGUGACAAGCAAAGGUGGCAGGUGUGUGCAGGGGGUGGCCAAGCAGUGCCACCAGGCACUCCCUCACUGCGAGGGAGCUCUCAGCCUCCUCUGCUUGCACCCUUCCCGCUACUGCCCUGGGUUACUGCAUCUCAGCUGGGGACACCAGCACAGGGCUGAGCUCUUCAGGGCCACUAUGGAUUGGCUCUGCAUGUCAGAGGGCCCUGGGCUUUGCAAGCAGACUGGAGAUUUUAUACGUAAUGAUUUAUACUCCACAGUUACAGAGUAGCCUGGAUGAAACCUUGAUCUGGGCCACACUCUAGUUUGCUGACAGGAAUUUCAUCUCCGGCUUCAGUGCCAGAGAUGAUAGUAAUUUUUUUCUUAACUUUUGCAUCAGCAAUUCUAUGUUUUGGGAUAGGAAAUUGAGUCUUGUUCUUCUUGGACAUUGAGGAGCCAGAAGAUGCCAAGAUAUUUCUAAGCCCCAGAAGUAGAGGCUAUAGAAAUUAAUCAGAAGCCCAGCCAAAAGCUUCUCUUUUGGACAACUGCAGCUGCUGGUUUCCUCGAGCCCGAGCAGACAUUUCUGAAUAGGUUGUCCUGAGCACUUUCUGUUUCAUCUGGCAUAUGGGGCUGAGAUUUCAUACCAGAGCUGCACUGUUUUUGUCCAAAGUUUUAUUUUUGUCCUUUGCCAAGAUUAAGAUCCACUCAGAGGUUCUUAUCCAGCUAGCUCUCCUGCAGGUGCCAGGACAUGACUGGAUGCUUUAAAGGCUUACUCCUUUUUAUAAAUGACAUGCCGGCCAAGCUCCAUUACUGCUCCAGAGAGAUCCAGAGGAACUCACAGCAUCUUAGGGAAAAAGGGCUGGAAGGGAUGUGAGGUGACUCAGAGCAUCUCCUGCCUCGAGACACACUGGCUGUGCAGUCCACAAGGGGUAGUGUUUUCAGAAGCACUGAAGUCUCAUUUUCAGUCACCAGUUCCCUUUGACAAGUCAGAAGCAGAGACUUGGGCAGGCUAACUGUUGUGAAAAAACGUGUGGUAAUCAAGUGUGGAGACCACUGACACCCCUCUGGUUUUGGGGGAACGUUUUUUGCAGCCAUGUGCAGGACCCAUAAUACCUUUCUUUCAAAUCAGAAAUACACAUUGCAUUCUCUUUGUUUAGCUAUAAGUCACUUCUGUUUGGUUGAGAUAAAUUUACCCCAAAGCUCCUGUAAGUUAUCUCGAAUAAAAUGGUGAGUUAUGACAUUAAAAUGAUAGGAUUGCAUUCUUAUUUUCUGUUGUUUUAUUUCAAGUCAUGGCUGCAUUCCAUCAAAACAUGCCUUGAAAUUCAGUUGUUAGCUGCCUCUUUGCUAUUUGAAGCUGUAUUCAUCCUGCUUCUUUCAAAUGUAGAAUGUUUUUAAGUACAAGGAAUACACAUAAAAUGUGAUGGAAAAUUUCAUAUCGUAUCUGACUAAUGCCAAAAGCCUUUGAUUUGAAAGGUCACAGAAAAACAGUGUGGUGCAAUGCACCUCUCACAGAUUGUUCAGUGUUUGCCUGUGGUUUAACUCCCAGUCUCUCUGUUGUUGUGCUACUUUCUAAGCACUGUUUUCCUAGUGCCUGUGGAAGACAGUCUCUCCACAGCCCCAGCCCCGUUCCUCCUGGCAGCCCUGCUCCCUUGAUAGACUUCAGCUCAGGUUGAGGUGACAACAUAAUGGAGCUGCUGAUGGUCAGGUUUCAGGAAACAAUCAUGCACCUUAUGAGAAACAAUCACUAAAACACAAGCACUUAGAGGAGCUAGAGAUAAAAGAGUCUCAUUUUCUUGGCAGCCCAAGUAGAUGUUCUGCAAUGACUGAUGAUAUGCGUGUUAUCUUGACACCGUACUCUCCCAUGUUGAAACUGUUUAUGGGAAACAAACAUCAUGUGAAAAACAGAUUGCCAGACACUAAGUAAAUCACUCUGAUGAGGAACGAGUCAAGUUCUGCCAGUUUUACCCACACUGUCAUUGUUAUGAUGUAACACAUUCCUCAUGACUGAUACUGUAUCCAAAUUAGGGCACAAAACCUUCUCUUGAUCAGUUAGCUGAAAUUCCCUGCCUUGUAGCGACUGCACACACACACAGGCACAACCUGGCUCUCACACACACAGAGCCCCAGCCAGUACAAAAUCACACCCUGUGUUAGCCAAGGAUUAAGAAGGUGGCAAAAUGAUACAAAUUGCAAAUUUUAUACCCUUCCCUCUUUAAUAAGCUGUUGCAAUUUUCAGAGUUCUGCUAGCGAUGAUUAAUAAACAUUUGGUGUGCUAAACAUAUGGAAAAAUCAUCCCAUCUGGACCAUUUAAAACUAGGACGUAGACUUUAUCUUUGUUUAUUUCAUCCUUAGCUAAAAGGCUUAUUAUGAAUUGCAAUAAUCCAGGGAGCCAACCAUGGAAGACAGACAAGCUCUUUAGAUAAAACCAAAAAGGCAAGUUUUCUAACCGAGGACCAGAUGUAUUUUUGGGUAUUGCCCUUGUACAUAUUUAGCUGAGCUUUUCAAGUGGUGACGAUUUGCAUGUUUGUUUUGCAAUACUAAUGAAUAUGUUUUAGAUUUACAUUUUAGAAAAUGGAAACUUUUAUCUUCUUGGGGCUUUGUAAGUUAAUGACUUCCAGAAGAUAGUUUGGUAUCCUCUUUUAACCCUUCACCAUUGAAAACAUAUCACUUUCCGAGGCACGAGGAUCUAGUGCAGGCCUGCUGAACCAAACCCGGGAGAUAUAUGUGACUCUUUCUAUUGUUUAUUUCUGGAAUUACAUAAAAUGUGGGUUUUACAUUUUCAAUCUAGUGAAAACAUAUGUAAAUGGCACAUCAUUUUAAAACUAACCUAAUGUGAAUCGUGGGGUAGGCAUUACCAUACACAUGAUCCUUUAAUUAGAUAAAUAAGGAAAAUACAUUUGGAAAAAUAAAGUUUCGAGACCCAGUAUCUUCCAUGAGUGAUUUAGUUUCCUCCAAGAUAAAGACUGGUUUAGAGUAGUAAGGAAAAUGUGCCGCAUAACAACAUUUUUACUUCUAGUAGAGAGAGCAAAGUUGCAGUUUUGUAACAUAGUUUUUUACCCUUUGAUUUUCUUUAAAGAGGUUAUGAGAGAAAAUAAUUAAUGAAUAAAACAUAAUUUUUCAAAGGCUUACCCUCAUUGGCAAUUUUUAUAUGACACGAGCCCUAUCAGAAAUUAAAAAUUCUUCCUUAGGGAACAACAGAACAUUUUAAUACAAGAGAUAGCUAUAGCUUUGAACUUUGAGUCGUUGACAAAUCAGUCUGAAACAGCCUUUCUUCCAAAUUUUUCCAGUUGUUCAUGCAAAAUAUGAUAGGAAACUAAGUAGGAUCUUGAGCAAAGAUGAUGUUUCUUAUCCUUAGUUCAUGAAAAGUUGCAAACCCCUGUGUAUGUAGGAUGCUAAAGUGGUGCCACAGAGGGGUCCUGGUCUGGAGGGCUGUGUUGUCACUGCAGAGCAGCUGGAGGCACAGGCAGUGUGAACACCUCUGGGAUGAACAGUUUGGCUGCCAGGCACAGCUGUACAGCCUCAGCAGCCCGCUCACACACAGCACAGGUGUGUGUCUCAGGGGAUGUCUGCAUGUGCACAGGUGACACUUCACUCCCCAGCUGCCUGUGCAUUUUCGGGAAAGGGCUCCUGGACAGGGAUCCAGCUAAGAUCCCAGCUCACUUGGAGGCAAUUUGUAGAGUAGUAAGCUUUUCAUCUCUGUUUGUUUUUAAAGAGAAAGUCAAAGUCAAAGCUCCUGUGUGCUCUUGGCGCAGCAAGGGGUGGCAUGACAUGGUGCCUGUCUGGCCAGGGGUGACAGCUCAGCACAGCGUUCCCAGGAGCAGGAAUAUCCAGCUCCUCCCAGCUAUUUAACUCCUGCUUCUGCAUUGGCAUGGCAACAUGUCAGCUACUGGGGUCAUGUGCUGGAUUUCUGGGGUACCUUUAGCAGCUGCAGAGUUUACAGGGGGGUUAAUGGGGUCUCACAUUUGCUUUUCAUAUCUGUAUCUUGUAAAAAGGAGAAUUGCAAGAGCUCAGCAGGGCAAACCAGUGCUACUACCCAGGCAGCUCCUGUGCAGAGCUAAGGACCUGACAGUGUGAGGGAAGGCAGGAGGUAGGACAGGGCUGUCUCCAGGUUCUUGCAGCUCUGGUUGGUAGAUCGUGGGAGUUAGGGCUUCUUACAGCUGUCGUGUGACCAAAGCUGGCUCAGACUAAAAGGCACAGAAGCCAUGUUUGGGAUCCUUUUUGAAUCAUCUUGCUGUAACUUGGUCUUUUCUCACCAGCAUGGGCACCGAGGACCUGGCUGGGCACUGCAGUGGCAGGAACACCACUGUUCCCAGGCUCUCAACCAGCCAUCCCUCUUGACACAGGCAGUGCUGUGGAGAAAAUGUCCUGUGGGCAGACCUGACCCCGAGGCCACUGGCAGGACCAUGCUGAUCAAGCCCCAUACCCUGAAUUAUGGGUGGUUUAGGCUGCUGAGUGGGUGGACUCAGAUUCUGUUUCAGGUACAAUGCUGUGGAGAAGGUGACCUUACCUAGGGACUGUUAUUUGUUUUCAACGGAGCCGUUUGGUGACACUGGUCCUCCACCACUGAAGCAACUCCAAUGGCUGCAUAGGCAUCAUUCUUUCUCCUCUGGGUGAAACUGAGGUCAAAGCGAAUUCCAUAAUCCCUGUUUACUUUACUUUGGUACUGUUUUUCCUUUUUCAUUGUCUGUAACAUUAAUACCUCCAUUUCCAUCAACAUGUGCAUAAAUAUGAAUGCAGCUGGAAAACUGACAACCACGCUCUGCUGAAGCAGUACUAAUACUGUAUUCUAACUCUGCAGAUUUUUAUUUGCAUUAAAUUGAGAGUGGCUCAUGCACCAAGAGACAGAGAGUUGUUCAUCGCAUACUUUUCAGGGAAUGGGAUCCUUGCCCAUACUAGAAAGGUGGUUAACAUGAAAUAAUCGAGCUGGACUUCAAUUCAUCCCUCUUUUUUUUUUUUUAAUGUGAAUAUAAGACAUACAGUUUUGACCUGAAUUAGUCCAUGUUAAUUAAAUAUAACCUAAACAUUGCUUUUUCUCUAGGCUGGAUGGAGCUGACACAUUGCCUACAGACCUUUCACUGUCAGGAUGUGACACUCUAUUUAUUUCAUCUUACUCCAUUUUUCCACAGGACUUUUGAUUCUUCCAAUGUAUCUGUGAUGGAUGGAGAAUGAAGCAGGCCUGUGUCACAUACAAAGCAGGAAGAAGUGGAAUAGUCUUGUGGUUGUGAUCUAGGAGGUGUAGCUUCUAUCUCUGCUUCUGUCAUAAAGUCUCUGUGGGAGACUGCAUGGAAGUCUCUCCCCAAAUUUCUGAAAGUAGCUGCUAAUAUUUUCUUCAUUAUUUUCCAGGAAUUCCACAUAGGGAAUUGAAAUCUGAUUUCCACAAAGUCAGCUGAAGUCAAUAAAACCUGCAGAUGUGGGGCUGUUCUGAGAAUUCAAGGUCUUGGGUGGUUGGCACUGUACAUUGAGUACCAGAGGUGAAGAAAGAAGGUCUUAAAAUGUCUGGGUUCAGGUUCCCUUAAAUUUAUUGCAGACCUUCUGUUUCAUCUUGCCCAAGGCAGUUACAACCAGGCUCAGACAACCCUAGAACAGGUUUCUCUCCCUUGGCUGUGUGAAGGCUGGAAUCUGGGGGAGCUGGAGGGGAGCAAACCAAACCCGGCUUCUCUUUCCACUCAAGAUGCUACUGUAACUGCAAUGCCAAAGGUAAACACCUUGGCAUUGCUGGCAACUGUUUGAAUGGAGACAUCCAUUUUCCAACCUCAUUUCCCUUCUGCACAAUAAUACAGUUAUAAAAAUAACUCUCAAUUCACGUGGAUAUGGUGGCUACAUCAAUGACAGUAACUCACCAGGUCUGGCACUGCUCUCUGAUGCCAGCUGGCACAAAGGGUUUCAUGCCACUGACCUCUCCAGUCUUCAAAACAGGAAGGCUGCAUGCAAACUUCAACCCAAGAUUGACUCCUGAUCUUUGAGUUCUCUGAAUUGGGAAUGGCUUGGGAAAAUGUUACUUGUACCAACCUGUCUCCCUGCCAAGGAUCAUUCCAGAAAUACAAGAGCAGCACUGGCAGAAUUGAAGUAUCCAGAGUGUUCCCUGGCAUUCUUUAUUUUCCUGCUAUAAGUGAAGCCUGUAGCUCCCAAAGGGCACUAACAGAAGACUCAGCAUUUUGUGUGAGAGGAAAGGCGUAUUUCUAGCACAGGCUGGAAAUCGUAUUUCAUUCUUUGUUCACCUCCAGGUGUGAGGUGAACAAAGAAUGAAAUACAUGGGUGGCAGUGGAAGGAGAACUGAAGUAAGUCUUUGACAAUUCUGACUCUAGGUUGUAACCAACUUUUUCAACAGCCAGCAUGAAAUAGACCCACCUCAAGACACCUGAGCAGACCUGAGCAGAACUGGAUGUGACUGAGACAUCCCAGUUGCCAUUGCUUCUAGGCUCAAGGAAAUGGCAUGGAACAGUUGAGAGCACAUCUGACCUCCCAGGCCUGGGUGCAGCUGCCACUCUCUGCUGGCAUGUGUGUUGCAAUGGGGUCUUGCAAGGCGCAGUCCCUCUCCUAGAGGGGGACACAUAUGCUGGGAAAGGAAGGAAAUGUGCUAGUCUGGAUAACUGGGAUUGCAACAGAAAGUGGGAAAAACAUCUGCCCUGCAAUGAAGACACAUGGAUUAUGAUACACGGAUGAAAAACUUCGGAAUGAUGAAAGUAACUUCUCUGGAAACACACACCACUGCCACUGCCACAAGCAUGGGACCAGAUGCAUUAUCCCACAAGCUGGUGUGGCUCUGCUGUGGAAAUACUGACUCCAUGGACUGUUGCUACUUUGUGGAAACCAUAUGAGGUCAGGAAGUCCAACAGCAGUCCAAGUCUUUGCUUCUUGGGGAGAGAUGGGGCUCUGAAAACCAUGGAAGAAAUACUGGAGAAGCUUGGGAUAAUAACUGAUUUCCUAGAGUAUGUGUAGGUAUGAGAAACUGUCAAUUUUCCCCCUUGAAAAAUCUCUUACAUCAACUGUGCAACAGAGGCACUGACAGACCACAGGCUGAUGAGCAACAAUGUGAUUCACAGAGGGAGGUACUCGGAAAGACACAUUUGAUAAAGAUUUUUAAGAUGGUGUUAUCAGGUUCUUUGCACCAUAUGUGUAGGAAAGGACUCUACUUUUAAAUAAAUCAUUCUGUGACAUUGCUGAAUGAGGAAAAUCUAAUGUUAGAAAGGAAAUAAAAAUAAAUUUAUCUGUCUUUUCCCCCACUACUCUCCAUAAACUUGUUCUGAGUGCAAUAUGGCCUUUCUGCUUGAGCCCAUCCCAGGUAAGGUGUCUGUGUUGCCUUUUUUUGAAUCCCAGAAGGGUGCUUUCUCCUCUGUAGAGCCUGGAGAUUCCCUUGGGGUGGUCUCAGACAGGAGGGAUUUCUUGUGAUGAGGAUACAUGACUGAUGGAUUUACUCAUUCCACUAAAUCUCCCCAGUGUUACUCUGAUAGAAACACCUGGACCUGGUUUCACCUUGCUUCACUCUUCUGAAGUUCACACUUCUUCCUGGUUCCAGUAAGGAUUUAUUCCCGUAGGCCCAGGCAG
Serinus canaria (Common canary) is the source of this 10198-nucleotide long non-coding RNA. RefSeq lists it as uncharacterized. The transcript has 4 exons. NCBI's taxonomy places the organism in Eukaryota, Metazoa, Chordata, Aves, Passeriformes, Fringillidae. The record is from RefSeq and is a predicted model, not a curated record.